AUACGGAGGGGGUUAGCGUUGUUCGGAAUUACUGGGCGUAAAGCGCACGUAGGCGGACUGGAAAGUUGGGGGUGAAAUCCCGGGGCUCAACCCCGGAACUGCCUCCAAAACUUCCAAUCUAGAGAUCGAGAGAGGUGAGUGGAAUUCCAAGUGUAGAGGUGAAAUUCGUAGAUAUUUGGAGGAACACCGGUGGCGAAGGCGGCUCACUGGCUCGAUACUGACGCUGAGGUGCGAAAGCGUGGGGAGCAAACAGGAUUAGAAACCCUAGUAGUCC
RNAcentral lists this ribosomal RNA (274 nucleotides) under uncultured bacterium. RNAcentral's name for it is "partial 16S ribosomal RNA". It matches the Rfam family "Bacterial small subunit ribosomal RNA", at positions 523 to 796 of the family's 1533-position model. The record is from RNAcentral.